Long non-coding RNA from Drosophila nasuta, 1168 nucleotides. RefSeq lists it as uncharacterized. The transcript is spliced from 3 exons. NCBI's taxonomy places the organism in Eukaryota, Metazoa, Arthropoda, Insecta, Diptera, Drosophilidae. The record is from RefSeq and is a predicted model, not a curated record.
GAUCGAGCACAGCCAAAAAUCUCGCCGCUAAAGUACUAAAGUCCUAAGUAAAUAUAAUAUAAACUUAAGCCAAAUAGUGUCAGUUACAUAUGACAAUGGUACCAUUUGUUUUCGAUGAAAAUCUUGGUAAGGACUGCGAAUAUUGUUCAAACGAUGAAUAUUUAAAAAUAUCGAAAAAGUGCCAAACGUGUUAAUAAGGAAAAUUCAAGUUUGUCGUUGUGCUGCACAUACAGCUCAACUGGUUCCUCUUGAUGUUACCAAAUCGUCGGAUGUGUUGAAAUACCAAUUUAAUUGUCGCAACAUGACGAAAUUUAUAAGAAAAACUUCAAAUGGAUAUCGCGAAAUAUUCAAGCUGAAACAGCUAAAAAUGCCGAAACUAGAUUAUUCGACCAGAUGGGGAUCCACUUACACGAUGCUAAAGGAUUUGUUAGUGGCCAAAGAUGAAGUAACUGAAAGUGAGUCAACUGAAAACAAUCGAACAAUUCGAAGAAGACAAUUUUUAAGUGGAUGCAUCGUUGUGGAAUUUUAUUGAAAACUAUUGCUCAGUUUUCAGUCCAUUGCAGAAAACAUUAAAAAAAUUCAAGAAGAACAACUACAUUAUGGAAAUUUUUACGCCCAAUGGCCAAAAUUAGAAAUUUGCACAGAAAAAAUUCAAAUCAUUUUAAAUCGAUAUGGGUCAGAAUAAAUGACAAAUUCUACUGGACAGAUAUGCUCAACACCAAAUCCGGGCUCACAUUAAUCUGUGAACCAUUUUUUGAUGAAUAAGAUGAAUUGUUAAACGCUUACUUAGAGCAAGGGAUCCAAACGGAAGUCAGACGUCUACUCAAAGAUUGAGAAUCUUCAACUUUCUUUCCAAAGAAUCGAUGCAGACGUUCUCACAUUUUGGAAAGAAAAGCAGUGCACUGACCAGGAGCUAUAUGCACUAACUAAUGUUUGCUUUGCGGUACCACCAACUCAGGUGACGAUUAAAUGAGCAUUUUCGACGCUAAGACUUGUACUUACUGAUUACCGAAAUCGACUAAGUCAGGAAGUACUAGAGAAUAUACUGCUGGUCAAAUUGAAUCCAAGCUUUCUGGAUUCAACGAUUGACAACUUAUCUCUUUUUCAAGAUGAAAAAGAUUUUGAAAGUUUAUUUUGAAUAACAUUGUAUUUUAUGAAAAAAAAAAAG